Molecule: ribosomal RNA, 519 nt
Filed under: uncultured eukaryote
Lineage: Eukaryota
Description: SSU rRNA
Rfam family: Eukaryotic small subunit ribosomal RNA
Source: RNAcentral
AGGGCACCACCAGGAGUGGAGCCUGCGGCUUAAUUUGACUCAACACGGGAAAACUCACCCGGCCCGGACACUGGAAGGAUUGACAGAUUGAGAGCUCUUUCUUGAUUCAGUGGGUGGUGGUGCAUGGCCGUUCUUAGUUGGUGGAGUGAUUUGUCUGGUUAAUUCCGGUAACGAACGAGACUCUAGCCUAUUAAAUAGAUCGUUGGCUUACAAACGCCGGCGAGACUUCUUAGAGGGACAGGCGGCGAUUCAGCCGCACGAAACAGAGCAAUAACAGGUCUGUGAUGCCCUUAGAUGUCCGGGGCCGCACGCGCGCUACACUGAAGUGAUCAGCGUGCAUUUUGAAACCUACUCUGUCAAGAGUGGGGAACCCAAUGAACCUUCUUCGUGAUUGGGAUAGGGGAUUGUAAUUAUUCCCCUUGAACGAGGAAUUCCCAGUAAGCGCGAAUCAUAAGUUUGCGCUGAUUACGUCCCUGCCCUUUGUACACACCGCCCGUCGCUACUACCGAUUGAAUGUUU